Molecule: ribosomal RNA, 29 nt
Filed under: uncultured Symbiodinium
Lineage: Eukaryota; Dinophyceae; Suessiales; Symbiodiniaceae
Description: partial 24S large subunit ribosomal RNA
Source: RNAcentral
AGACAAGUGAACCCGCUGACUUAAGCAUA